AGGAUGAACGUUGGCGGCGUGCCUAACACAUGCAAGUCGAGCGGGCGUAGCAAUACGUCAGCGGCAGACGGGUGAGUAACGCGUGGGAACGUACCUUUUGGUUCGGAACAGCCCAGGGAAACUUGGGCUAAUACCGGAUAAGCCCUUACGGGGAAAGAUUUAUCGCCGAAAGAUCGGCCCGCGUCUGAUUAGCUAGUUGGUGAGGUAAUGGCUCACCAAGGCGACGAUCAGUAGCUGGUCUGAGAGGAUGAUCAGCCACAUUGGGACUGAGACACGGCCCAAACUCCUACGGGAGGCAGCAGUGGGGAAUAUGGACAAUGGGCGCAAGCCUGAUCCAGCCAUGCCGCGUGAGUGAUGAAGGCCCUAGGGUUGUAAAGCUCUUUUGUGCGGGAAGAUAAUGACGGUACCGCAAGAAUAAGCCCCGGCUAACUUCGCGCCAGCAGCCGC
RNAcentral lists this ribosomal RNA (447 nucleotides) under uncultured bacterium. RNAcentral's name for it is "SSU rRNA". It matches the Rfam family "Bacterial small subunit ribosomal RNA", at positions 26 to 518 of the family's 1533-position model. The record is from RNAcentral.